UCUAGUGAGACUAUGUCGGGGC
Molecule: unclassified non-coding RNA, 22 nt
Filed under: Mus musculus (house mouse)
Lineage: Eukaryota; Metazoa; Chordata; Mammalia; Rodentia; Muridae
Description: oocyte_clustered_small_RNA11105
Source: RNAcentral